This 497-nucleotide ribosomal RNA is filed under the name uncultured bacterium. RNAcentral's name for it is "partial 16S ribosomal RNA". It matches the Rfam family "Bacterial small subunit ribosomal RNA", at positions 28 to 507 of the family's 1533-position model. The record is from RNAcentral.
GAUGAACGCUGGCGGCGUGCCUAAUACAUGCAAGUCGAGCGAACGGACGAGAAGCUUGCUUCUCUGAUGUUAGCGGCGGACGGGUGAGUAACACGUGGAUAACCUACCUAUAAGACUGGGAUAACUUCGGGAAACCGGAGCUAAUACCGGAUAAUAUUUUGAACCGCAUGGUUCAAAAGUGAAAGACGGUCUUUCUGUCACUUAUAGAUGGAUCCGCGCUGCAUUAGCUAGUUGGUAAGGUAACGGCUUACCAAGGCAACGAUGCAUAGCCGACCUGAGAGGGUGAUCGGCAACACUGGAACUGAGACACGGUCCAGACUCCUACGGGAGGCAGCAGUAGGGAAUAUUCCGCAAUGGGCGAAAGCCUGACGGAGCAAAGCCGCGUGAGUGAUGAAGGUCUUCGGAUCGUAAAACUCUGUUAUUAGGGAAGAACAUAUGUGUAAGUAACUGUGCACAUCUUGACGGUAACUAAUCAGAAAGCCACGGCUAACUACGUG